Molecule: ribosomal RNA, 279 nt
Filed under: uncultured bacterium
Lineage: Bacteria
Description: partial 16S ribosomal RNA
Rfam family: Bacterial small subunit ribosomal RNA
Source: RNAcentral
UGCCAGCCGCCGCGGUAAUACGAGGGGUCCUAGCGUUGUUCGGAAUUAUUGGGCGUAAAGCGGGUGUAGGCGGACUGAUUAGUCAGAAGUGAAAGCCCCGGGCUCAACCCGGGAAGUGCUUUUGAUACUGUCAGUCUUGAGUGUGGGAGAGGGUAGUGGAAUUCCUGGUGUAGAGGUGAAAUUCGUAGAUAUUCGGAGGAACACCAGUGGCGAAGGCGGCUCACUGGCUCGAUACUGACGCUGAGGUACGAAAGUGUGGGGAGCAAACAGGAUUAGAUA